This 253-nucleotide ribosomal RNA is filed under the name uncultured bacterium. RNAcentral describes it as "partial 16S ribosomal RNA". It matches the Rfam family "Bacterial small subunit ribosomal RNA", at positions 524 to 776 of the family's 1533-position model. The record is from RNAcentral.
UACGAAGGGUGCAAGCGUUACUCGGAAUUACUGGGCGUAAAGCGUGCGUAGGUGGUUUGUUAAGUCUGAUGUGAAAGCCCUGGGCUCAACCUGGGAAUGGCAUUGGAUACUGGCGAGCUAGAGUGCGGUAGAGGGUAGUGGAAUUCCCGGUGUAGCAGUGAAAUGCGUAGAGAUCGGGAGGAACAUCUGUGGCGAAGGCGACUACCUGGGUUGACACUGACGCUCAGGCACGAAAGCGUGGGGAGCAAACAGG